UCAAUUUCUGCCCUAUCAACUUUCGAUGGUAGGAUAGUGGCCUACCAUGGUUUCAACGGGUAACGGGGAAUUAGGGUUCUAUUCCGGAGAGGGAGCCUGAGAAACGGCUACCACAUCCAAGGAAGGCAGCAGGCGCGCAAAUUACCCAAUCCCGACACGGGGAGGUAGUGACAAUAAAUACUGAUACAGGGCUCUUUUGAGUCUUGUAAUUGGAAUGAGUACAAUUUAAAUCCCUUAACGAGGAACAAUUGGAGGGCAAGUCUGGUGCCAGCAGCCGCGGUAAUUCCAGCUCCAAUAGCGUAUAUUAAAGUUGUUGCAGUUAAAAAGCUCGUAGUUGAACCUUGGGCCUGGCUGGCCGGUCCGCCUCACCGCGUGCACUGGUCCGGCCGGGCCUUUCCUCCUGGGGAGCCGCAUGCCCUUCACUGGGUGUGUCGGGGAACCAGGACUUUUACUUUGAAAAAAUUAGAGUGUUCAAAGCAGGCCUAUGCUCGAAUACAUUAGCAUGGAAUAAUAGAAUAGGACGUGUGGUUCUAUUUUGUUGGUUUCUAGGACCGCCGUAAUGAUUAAUAGGGAUAGUCGGGGGCAUCAGUAUUCAAUUGCAGAAGUGAAAUUCUUGGAUUUAUUGAAGACUAACUACUGCGAAAGCAUUUGCCAAGGAUGUUUUCAUUAAUCAGUGAACGAAAGUUAGGGGAUCGAAGACGAUCAGAUACCGUCGUAAUCUUAACCAUAAACUAUGCCACUAGGGAUCGGCGAUGUUAUCUUUUGACUCCUCGCACCUUACAAAAAUCAAAGUUUUG
Molecule: ribosomal RNA, 797 nt
Filed under: fungal sp. EEM12
Lineage: Eukaryota; Fungi
Description: SSU rRNA
Rfam family: Eukaryotic small subunit ribosomal RNA
Source: RNAcentral